AAAUUGAAGAGUUUGAUCAUGGCUCAGAUUGAACGCUGGCGGCAGGCCUAACACAUGCAAGUCGAGCGGAAACGAGUUAUCAGAACCUUCGGGGGACGAUAACGGCGUCGAGCGGCGGACGGGUGAGUAAUGCCUAGGAAAUUGCCCUGAUGUGGGGGAUAACCAUUGGAAACGAUGGCUAAUACCGCAUGAUGCCUACGGGCCAAAGAGGGGGACCUUCGGGCCUCUCGCGUCAGGAUAUGCCUAGGUGGGAUUAGCUAGUUGGUGAGGUAAGGGCUCACCAAGGCGACGAUCCCUAGCUGGUCUGAGAGGAUGAUCAGCCACACUGGAACUGAGACACGGUCCAGACUCCUACGGGAGGCAGCAGUGGGGAAUAUUGCACAAUGGGCGCAAGCCUGAUGCAGCCAUGCCGCGUGUGUGAAGAAGGCCUUCGGGUUGUAAAGCACUUUCAGUCGUGAGGAAGGUAGUGUGUUUAAUAGA
Molecule: ribosomal RNA, 480 nt
Filed under: Vibrio parahaemolyticus
Lineage: Bacteria; Pseudomonadati; Pseudomonadota; Gammaproteobacteria; Vibrionales; Vibrionaceae
Description: bacterial SSU rRNA
Rfam family: Bacterial small subunit ribosomal RNA
Source: RNAcentral